GUAGGGAAUAUUGGACAAUGGUUGCAAGACUGAUCCAGCCAUGCCGCGUGCAGGAAGAAGGCUUUCUGAGUUGUAAACUGCUUUUGCCAGGGGAUAAAAAAUCCCUGCGGGGAGAAUUGAAGGUACCUGGUGAAUAAGCCACGGCUAACUACGUGCCAGCAGCCGCGGUAAUACGUAGGUGGCAAGCGUUGUCCGGAUUUAUUGGGUUUAAAGGGUGCGUAGGCGGUGACCUAAGUCAGUUGUGAAAUACUUCAGCUUAACUGGAGAGGUGCAAUUGAUACUGGGAUACUUGAGUACUGAUGAGGUAUGCGGAAUGGACGGUGUAGCGGUGAAAUGCUUAGAUAUCGUCCAGAACACCGAUAGCGAAGGCAGCAUACUAAGGAGUAACUGACGCUGAGGCACGAAAGUGUGGGGAUCAAACAGGAUUAGAAACCCUGGUAGUCC
Molecule: ribosomal RNA, 444 nt
Filed under: uncultured bacterium
Lineage: Bacteria
Description: bacterial SSU rRNA
Rfam family: Bacterial small subunit ribosomal RNA
Source: RNAcentral